Molecule: ribosomal RNA, 476 nt
Filed under: uncultured Sphingobacteriales bacterium
Lineage: Bacteria; Pseudomonadati; Bacteroidota; Sphingobacteriia; Sphingobacteriales
Description: bacterial SSU rRNA
Rfam family: Bacterial small subunit ribosomal RNA
Source: RNAcentral
UGAAUUGACGGGGGCCCGCACAAGCGGAGGAGCAUGUGGUUUAAUUCGAUGAUACGCGAGGAACCUUACCUGGGCUCGAACGUAAGAUGACUGUAGGUGAAAGCUUACAUCUCUUCGGAGCAUUUUACGAGGUGCUGCAUGGUUGUCGUCAGCUCGUGCCGUGAGGUGUCGGGUUAAGUCCCAUAACGAGCGCAACCCCUACCUUUAGUUGCCAUCAGGUUAAGCUGGGGACUCUAAAGGAACUGCCUACGCAAGUAGUGAGGAAGGCGGGGAUGACGUCAAAUCAGCACGGCCCUUACGUCCAGGGCUACACACGUGCUACAAUGGCCGAUACAGAGGGCAGCUACCUGGUGACAGGAUGCAAAUCUCCAAAGUCGGUCUCAGUUCGGAUCGGAGUCUGCAACCCGACUCCGUGAAGUUGGAUUCGCUAGUAAUCGCGCAUCAGCCAUGGCGCGGUGAAUACGUUCCCGGGCCUU